Molecule: ribosomal RNA, 1481 nt
Filed under: metagenome
Description: bacterial SSU rRNA
Rfam family: Bacterial small subunit ribosomal RNA
Source: RNAcentral
AGAGUUUGAUCCUGGCUCAGGAUUAACGCUAGCGGCAGGCCUAAUACAUGCAAGUCGAGGGGCAGCGAGAGUAGCAAUACUUGUCGGCGACCGGCGCCCGGGUGCGUAACACGUAUGCAACCUACCUUUAACUGGGGCAUAGCCCCGAGAAAUCGGGAUUAAUACCCCAUAACAUUGCGAAGAGACAUCUUUUUGCAAUUAAAGUUUUAACGGUUAAAGAUGGGCAUGCGCGACAUUAGCUGAUUGGUGAGGUAACGGCUCACCAAGGCUACGAUGUCUAGGGGUUCUGAGAGGAUUUACCCCCACACUGGUACUGAGACACGGACCAGACUCCUACGGGAGGCAGCAGUAAGGAAUAUUGGGCAAUGGGCGCAAGCCUGACCCAGCCAUGCCGCGUGCAGGAUUGACGGCCCUAUGGGUUGUAAACUGCUUUUGUACGGGAAAAAACCCCCGGUCGUGUAUCGGGGCUGAUGUUACCGUAAGAAUAAGCAUCGGCUAACUCCGUGCCAGCAGCCGCGGUAAUACGGAGGAUGCAAGCGUUAUCCGGAUUCAUUGGGUUUAAAGGGUGCGCAGGCGGAGCGAUAAGUCAGUGGUGAAAGCCUACAGCUCAACUGUAGAAUUGCCAUUGAUACUGUCGUUCUUGAGUAUAGUUGGAGUGAGCGGAAUGUAUCAUGUAGCGGUGAAAUGCAUAGAUAUGAUACAGAACACCAAUCGCGAAGGCGGCUCACUAAGCUAUAACUGACGCUCAUGCACGAAAGCGUGGGGAGCAAACAGGAUUAGAGACCCUGGUAGUCCACGCCCUAAACGACCACUCGAUGUUGGCGAUAUACAGUCAGCGUCUGAGCGAAAGCAUUAAGUGAUCCACCUGGGGAGUACGAUCGCAAGGUUGAAACUCAAAGGAAUUGACGGGGGCCCGCACAAGCGGAGGAGCAUGUGGUUUAAUUCGAUGAUACGCGAGGAACCUUACCUGGGCUUAAAUGGGAGAGGACAGCUGCCGAAAGGUGGCUUUCCGUAAGGACCUCUUUCAAGGUGCUGCAUGGCUGUCGUCAGCUCGUGCCGUGAGGUGUCGGGUUAGGUCCCAUAACGAGCGCAACCCCUAUCCUUAGUUGCCAUCAGGUAAUGCUGGGAACUCUAAGGAAACUGCCUACGCAAGUAGUGAGGAAGGCGGGGAUGACGUCAAGUCAGCACGGCCCUUACGUCCAGGGCUACACACGUGCUACAAUGGCUGGUACAGAGGGCAGCUACCUGGUGACAGGACGCAAAUCUCAAAAACCGGUCUCAGUUCGGAUCGAAGUCUGCAACUCGACUUCGUGAAGUUGGAUUCGCUAGUAAUCGGAUAUCAGCAAUGAUCCGGUGAAUACGUUCCCGGGCCUUGUACACACCGCCCGUCAAGCCAUGGGAGUUGGGGGUACCUAAAGUCGAUAACCGUAAGGAGUCGCCUAGGGUAAAACCAAUGACUGGGGCUAAGUCGUAACAAGGUA